Long non-coding RNA from Panonychus citri (citrus red mite), 3843 nucleotides. RefSeq lists it as uncharacterized. The transcript has 7 exons. NCBI's taxonomy places the organism in Eukaryota, Metazoa, Arthropoda, Arachnida, Trombidiformes, Tetranychidae. The record is from RefSeq and is a predicted model, not a curated record.
AUCCUCUGAUUUACAGUUAAAACUUUCAUGAAUUAAUUGUUAACUUUUCAGUUAAUCAAUUUUUCUGAUUCUUUGUUUACUUUUUUCAAGUUACUAUAUUUGUGAAUUUUUAUCAUCUCAAGUAUCAUUAACAUCAUGUAAUUGUUUUUGAUUUUUUUCUCUGUGUUAAUUUAAUUACUUCAGUUUUUCUCUUGUGUUAGUGAGUUUCUCUCUCUCUCUCUCUCUCCUUGGUAAUAAAUUGUCAUCAAAAUACGUGAAUUGGAUAUUAUUUAUAUAUAAAAGUCUUUAUGAUGGAUUUUCUUGUUCGAAAAUAGUGAAAAGUUUAUUUCUCCUUUGCCAGCUUAUCCAUCAGAUCUGGAGAGUUGCUCUCUCUCUCUCUCCUAUUCUCUGCUGCUUGUGUGAUAAUAUUUCCUACCAAAACCCUGGAUAGUUGAUUAUACAUUUCGGUGUAUAUACUUAUAUUCAUAUAUACUCAUGGAUACACAGAUUCAUUCACAUAAGGAUAUAUAUUACACCAUGAGAAGCAUAUUACUCAAAAGAUUCAAGGAACAAUUGUCAAACUUUAGUUCCCUUGACUGUUAACCCAAUUCAAUUCUUGGUAGUGGAGAAAAGAAGAGUAAGAAAAAGGAAAAAAAAGAGAAGACGAAAACGAAUAAGGAAUAGAAAAAAGAGAAAAGAAAAGAAAAAGAUUCAUUGGAAAUCGGUUGUUCCAAUGACGAAAAUGAAUACAAAGAAAUUGGUGCUAUUGGUUACACAGCGAAAUUGAAACUUAUGCGUGUAUCAUGAUGAUGAUAGAGAAGACAUGACAGUAAAGCUAAUGGAUAAAUGAGCGUAAUUUACGUGGAACAUGGAACAGGAAAAACACACACAAAGAAGAAAAUUGGAAUAAGAAAUUUAACUUCCCCAAUCUAUUAAACGACCGACACACAAAUAAUAAGGAGAAAAAGAAGAAAAAAAACUCGAGAAUAAUAAAGAACUAAUAUUUCAACCUGAUUCUUGGUUCUUUACCUUAGAGUAUCAUCACCAUUAUCAUGAUAUCUUCCUGUUGUCUUCUCAAUCUCCUAUUACUGGAUUUCCUCUCUCUUUCUCUCUCUUGCUCUCUUAUUGACUAAAUAUUCAUCACAAAUUCCUGGUCUUUUUUUCCCUCUAAAAAACAUCAACAUGGAAAGAGGAUAUUACACUUUUAUCAUCAUCUUUUACAAUCGAUCAGAACCAAAGGUCUACUAAAGCAAUUGGAAAUCAACAUCACACACACACACAACUAAUAUAAUCGAUUAUUGAUUACACUUUACAUAUAAGCAUAAGUAUUAUGUGUAUAUUUGAUUCUCUUGGUAAGAGACAGUCUGACAAGUUCGAAAGACCUUUCAAAAGAGAAGAGAAAAAAACUUCGCCAUAGAAUAGGGAAGAUUGAUUAUUGGUUCUGUUGUUGAUACGAGUUUAUCUCUUUUUUUCCUCUUCCUCCCUGUUAUCUAACUGUUCAUCAUGAUGGAAUAAAAAAAGCCCACGAAUCACAUUGGUUAUCAGGUUAUCCAAAUAAUCUUACACUUUUUUUAUAUAUCAUUUAACUUCUUACACACACUCUCUCUCUCUCUCUCUCUCUCUCUCUCUCUCUCUCAUCUUCACCCUCUUUGCCUACUAUUAUUUUCAACAGUUUCAUUCAUUUAAUUUGCUUCUUUAUCUUCUCUCUUUUUCUCUUCUUAGAUUAACAUUCUUUGUAUUAUUAUCUUACUACCACUAUUAUCCUUAACAGGUCAACUUAAUUGCUGGUCAACUUGGUCAUUUGGUGAUUUAUUAUUAUUCCUACAACAACAACAUGGUUGGAACAACAAUAACAACAGAUAAAAAAGGAAAACUGUACUUGAAGAUUCAUGAAAGAUACAAAGGAAUAGUCUUAUUAUUCACACUAUGAUUAUCAUGAUGGUGAAAACCCUGAUAAUUUGGUCAUAUAAUUAUAUGAGUCGUUUAAACAUUGGAUUGAAUAUUUACUAUUGAAUUGGAUAAUUGUGAUGAUCAAUUAACCGACCAUCAUUGGAAAACCAAUUUAAUUGAGUAAAAAAUCAAUCAUUUCUCAUUCAAGAUCUUAACGCCAUCUCUUGUAAACAAUCAGCGCUUUCUCAUCACAUGUAAAGAUUAUAUAAAACUGUGAAUGAGAAGACUUGAUUCCAUUGAAUAGAUGGCGAUGAUUAUGAUUAGGAUGAAGCUUUUGGAUGAUGAUGAUCACUCAUCUUUCUCACUGUAUGUGGUUGUCAUGUCUAAAUGCAAAUAUUGUUACAAUAACAACAAUCAACGCCAAGAGUAAACUGUUAAUAUUGUAAAUUUGAUUCUGUUCAACAACAACAACAAAUGUAUAAUAUAAUUUUCCCUGUUAAUAUCUAAGGUGGUGAUAUGAUUUUUGAGAAUCCAGAUGAUUCAUAAUAAUAACAAUAUAAUAUUGUAAAAGAAAUUGGAAAUUUCCAACAAGACCAAAUAGUGAGACUUAUAUAUAAUAAUGUAAACAUCAUUGGAAGAUGAUAUUGGAUGAGGAUGGAGAAGGUUCCAUGUAAUGUGACGAUGAUGGAAGACAAGUGAAGAAAAGUCAACUGUUUUUGAUUCGAAUUGUGAAUUUUUCUAAAUCAAGAGGAUGGAAAAGAAUCAAAGAAAUUGAAUGGACUCCUCCUAGGAUAAAGAUGAGAUGCAAAAGAAUUACAAAGAGGAUGGAAAGAGAAGAAAAAAAUGGAUGAAUAAGAAGAGAAAUAUUGUUCAUAUUCCAUGGAAUCAAAUCAACAACAACAACAGGAACCCAAAGAACAAGAAGAUUGUUCAGAAUAAGAAAAUAGAGAAGAAGAAGAAGAAAAAAAUGAGAGGAAAUCUCUUUUUUCUUCAUCAUCUUCCUUCGCCUUCUUAGGUUCAUUAUAUUUAUCAUAACUUGUCAUCUCCAUUUUGUUUGGAAGACGUAAAAGAUGAGGAAACAAACAUCAGAAUCAUCAUCAUCCAGAAAGAGGGAGAGAAAAAGAAUCAACCAUAAACAACUUUCUUUCUCUUUUUUUAUUAUUAUUUUUUUACGUUUUUUGGCAAAAAAAGAGAUGAGGAUGGAACGAAGAUGACAAAGAGGUGUAAGAUAACUACCACCACCACCACGACUGAUGAUGAAGAGGAGGAGGAGGAGAAAAAGAAGAUAAAGAAGAGGGUGGAAGGAGAUUCUGCAUUCUCCUCAUCUCCUCAUCUCUCUCUCUCUCUCUCUGUCUCUCUCUCGUCAUCAUCAUCGUUAAACUUUUUUGAAUGUACAUUAUUUUAUGUGUAUUUUUGGUCCUUAGAGUCUUGACCUUGAUCGAGGUGAAGUUUAACUUUUCCUUUCCUGAUGAUUUUAGCAUCGAUAACAAAGACCAUUCAAUAAUAUGUAUACAAAGUUUCACUCAUCCAAUUUUACGCUCAUCAUCUUUAUCAUAGACUCAUCAUCAUUCUCAUCAUCAUCUUCUUCCUCUCUUCUGCUUUAUCCUCCUUUCUCAAAGUCAUCAUUGUCAUAAUAAUGCCCUCUUUAUGUGUCCUCUCAACCUUUUCUGUGGUUGACAUUUGCCUUUAUCUCUCUCUCUCUCUCUCUCUCUCUCUAUCCUCAUCCUCAUCCUCUGGAUAAAUAUAUUGCAAGUUAAAUUGUUCAACCUCCCAAAGGUAAUCGAGACAAAAAUCCCAUCUAAAUCAAACAACAAUUUGAUUAGAUGAAAUAUUUGAUACGAUAAUUAUGAUUAGUUGAUUAAAAAAUCAAUAACCAAAUCGUAAAUGAUAUUGAAUGAUGAACAUAAUGGUGAUAAUAACAAUUAAAUGAAAUUGUUAUGAUGAUUAUUGUGAUAAUAAAUCUGAUUUAUCAGU